CCUGGUGGCUCAGAGGGUAAAGCGUCUGCCUACAAUGCAGGAGACCCAGGUUCAAUCCAUGGGUCAGGA
This 69-nucleotide transfer RNA is filed under the name Bos taurus (domestic cattle). It matches the Rfam family "tRNA". Rfam says of the family: Transfer RNA (tRNA) molecules are approximately 80 nucleotides in length. Their secondary structure includes four short double-helical elements and three loops (D, anti-codon, and T loops). Further hydrogen bonds mediate the characteristic L-shaped molecular structure. tRNAs have two regions of fundamental functional importance: the anti-codon, which is responsible for specific mRNA codon recognition, and the 3' end, to which the tRNAs corresponding amino acid is attached (by aminoacyl-tRNA synthetases). tRNAs cope with the degeneracy of the genetic code in two manners: having more than one tRNA (with a specific anti-codon) for a particular amino acid; and 'wobble' base-pairing, i.e. permitting non-standard base-pairing at the 3rd anti-codon position. RNAcentral also lists the same sequence under 1 other name. Lineage: Eukaryota; Metazoa; Chordata; Mammalia; Artiodactyla; Bovidae. The record is from Rfam by way of RNAcentral.